GGGUGUGAGGGCGAUCUGGCUGGGACAUUUGUCACCCACUGAUUGCCAGAGUUGGUUCAGCUGAUCUGGCCUGCUAAGCAGGUGUCCCCUUCCUCCCUCACCACUCUAUGUGUGUCCCUCCUGAAGAUGCUCACACAGUCAGAGUACUCCCAUCAUGGAUAUCUGAGUAGCUAUGAGCUCUCAAGAAGAGGGGAUGUACAAUGUGCUCCCUGUCUCUUGCCAUAUGAUACCCUGCAACACCAUGGGACUCUGCCAUCAAGAAAGCCACUACCAGAUGUGGCCCCUCAACCU
Molecule: small RNA, 291 nt
Filed under: Castor canadensis (American beaver)
Lineage: Eukaryota; Metazoa; Chordata; Mammalia; Rodentia; Castoridae
Description: 7SK RNA (ENSCCNG00000027433.1)
Rfam family: 7SK RNA (bases 1-217)
About the family: 7SK was discovered as an abundant small nuclear RNA in the mid-70s but a possible function has only recently been suggested.
Source: RNAcentral